AGUGAACGCUGGCGGUAGGCCUAACACAUGCAAGUCGAACGGCAGCUCAGUAAGAGCUUGCUCUUACGGGUGGCGAGUGGCGGACGGGUGAGGAAUACAUCGGCAUCUACUUUUUCGUGGGGGAUAACGUAGGGAAACUUACGCUAAUACCGCAUACGACCUACGGGUGAAAGCAGGGGGUCUUCGGACCUUGCGCGAUUGAAUGAGCCGAUGUCGGAUUAGCUAGUUGGCGGGGUAAAGGCCCACCAAGGCGACGAUCCGUAGCUGGUCUGAGAGGAUGAUCAGCCACACUGGAACUGAGACACGGUCCAGACUCCUACGGGAGGCAGCAGUGGGGAAUAUUGGACAAUGGGCGCAAGCCUGAUCCAGCCAUACCGCGUGGGUGAAGAAGGCCUUCGGGUUGUAAAGCCCUUUUGUUGGGAAAGAAAAGCAGCAGGUUAAUACCCCGCUGUUCUGACGGUACCCAAAGAAUAAGCACCGGCUAACUUCGUG
Molecule: ribosomal RNA, 492 nt
Filed under: uncultured bacterium
Lineage: Bacteria
Description: partial 16S ribosomal RNA
Rfam family: Bacterial small subunit ribosomal RNA
Source: RNAcentral